RNAcentral lists this unclassified non-coding RNA (315 nucleotides) under Tomentella sp. RNAcentral describes it as "partial contains 5.8S ribosomal RNA, internal transcribed spacer 2, and large subunit ribosomal RNA". Lineage: Eukaryota; Fungi; Basidiomycota; Agaricomycetes; Thelephorales; Thelephoraceae. RNAcentral also lists the same sequence under 1 other name. The record is from RNAcentral.
AACGCACCUUGCGCCCCUUGGCUAUUCCGAGGGGCAUGCCUGUUUGAGUAUCAUGAACACCUCAACUCUCAUGGUUCGCCAUGAUGAGCUUGGACUCUGGGGGUUUUGCUGGCCUGCGGUCGGCUCCCCUCAAAUGAAUCAGCCUCCCAGUGUUUGGUGGCAUCACGGGUGUGAUAAAUAUCUACGCUCGCGGUUGUCUGCCAGGUAACCUUUGGUGACAAAGGUUCGCUGGAGCUCACAGAUGUCUCUCCUCGGCGAGGACAGCUUUUUUGAACGUUCGAUCUCAAAUCAGGUAGGACUACCCGCUGAACUUAA